AGCAACAAGGGUGAAAUCUGUACUUAAGUUAAAUUUCUUGUUUAAAGCAUCUUUUAGGUAGUUAAACGACUAGGAUUAGAUACCCUAUUAGUCUAUCCUUAAUUAACCUGGGUAGUAAUAUUAAAACCUAAAGAAUUUGGCGGUUUCUAAACUUACUAGAGGAACCUGUCCCGUAAACGACAAUCCACGAAAAAAUCAAUCCAAACUUGUUAUUCAGCUUAUAUACCGUCGUUUAGGGGAUUAAACAAAUAGAUCUCCUUAAGAGCCUAGGCUAAUAAAUCAGAUCAAGGUGUAGCUUAUGUUUGGGUGAGGAUGGGUUACAAUGAAAAUUCAUACGGAACCUUUAUAUUACUGCAAAGGAGAAGGUGGAUUUAGAAGUAAGACCUAACACACUGAAGAAAGCCCUGAGAAAUGUACAC
This 419-nucleotide ribosomal RNA is filed under the name Artemia sinica. Its description in RNAcentral is "partial small subunit ribosomal RNA". The record is from RNAcentral. Lineage: Eukaryota; Metazoa; Arthropoda; Branchiopoda; Anostraca; Artemiidae.